This 280-nucleotide ribosomal RNA is filed under the name Acinetobacter junii. Its description in RNAcentral is "partial 16S rRNA". It matches the Rfam family "Bacterial small subunit ribosomal RNA", at positions 20 to 302 of the family's 1533-position model. The record is from RNAcentral. Lineage: Bacteria; Pseudomonadati; Pseudomonadota; Gammaproteobacteria; Moraxellales; Moraxellaceae.
UGGCUCAGAUUGAACGCUGGCGGCAGGCUUAACACAUGCAAGUCGAGCGGAGCGAGGGUGCUUGCACCUUAGCUUAGCGGCGGACGGGUGAGUAAUGCUUAGGAAUCUGCCUAUUAGUGGGGGACAACAUUCCGAAAGGAAUGCUAAUACCGCAUACGCCCUACGGGGGAAAGCAGGGGAUCUUCGGACCUUGCGCUAAUAGAUGAGCCUAAGUCGGAUUAGCUAGUUGGUGGGGUAAAGGCCUACCAAGGCGACGAUCUGUAGCGGGUCUGAGAGGAUG